This is a long non-coding RNA of Mytilus californianus (California mussel), 405 nucleotides long. RefSeq lists it as uncharacterized. The transcript has 3 exons. Lineage: Eukaryota; Metazoa; Mollusca; Bivalvia; Mytilida; Mytilidae. The record is from RefSeq and is a predicted model, not a curated record.
AUGUAAUCCUUAACCCAUAAUGCUGCAAAGAAAAGUUUUAAUUUAAUAUUAUCGAUAAUUCAACAAUUGAAGUACAAAAUGUAUAAGGGACAGAACAGUAAAAGUUUUAGGAACAUUUUAUUAAAUGAGAAAAAUGAAAAGGAAAGAUUUAAGGAUAGAGGUAAUAGCUGUCAAGGAAGAGUAAUGGAUGCCUACACAAAAAUAACGGAAGCUGAAUUAAAGAAGGAUUAUGCACCAGAAAUGGUUGGAGGAGCUUGGAGACUACAAUUCAUUUUCACGAAAAUAUUAACAAUGAAUUAAGAGAUUAUUUGUAUUCAUUUACCAGAUCACCUUUUGGCUAUAUGAGCUUUUGUCAUAACUUGACAUCUGUUGUACUGUUUUUUUUUAAAGAUCAAAUCUUGCUGA